GAACGAUUAAAGCCCCUUCGGGGGUGUAUACAGUGGCGAAAGGGCGAGGAAUACGUUCCUACGUACCCCGAGGUCGGGGAUAGCCCGGGGAAACCCGGAGUAAUACCCGAUGUGGUCCGUCGCAAGGCGGAUCAAAGGCUUCGGUCGCCUUGGGAGCGGGGAACGUCCUAUCAGGUUGUUGGUGAGGUAAAGGCUCACCAAGCCGAAGACGGGUAGCGGGUGUGAGAGCACGACCCGCCGCAUCGGGACUGAGACACUGCCCGGACUCCUACGGGAGGCUGCAGCAACGAAUCUUCCGCAAUGCGCGAAAGCGUGACGGAGCAAUGCCGCGUGCAGGAUGAAGCCCUUCGGGGUGUAAACUGCUGUCAGGGUUUAGCAACACAAUGAGCAGACCCAAAGGAAGGGCCGGCUAACUUCGUGCCAGCAGCCGCGGUAAUACGAAGGGCCCGAGCGUUGCGCGGAAUCACUGGGCUUAAAGCGUACGUAGGCGGGCAUGCAGGUAUCUUGUGAAAUCCCUCGGCUCAACCGAGGAACUGCUUGGUAAACCGCAUGUCUUGAGGCAAGUAGGGGCUGUCGGAACGAUAGGUGGAGCGGUGAAAUGCGUUGAUAUCUAUCGGAACGCCGAAGGUGAAGACAGGCAGCUGGGCUUGUUCUGACGCUGAUGUACGAAAGCGUGGGGAGCGAACGGGAUUAGAUACCCCGGUAGUCCACGCCGUAAACGAUGUGCACUAGAUCGAGGGGGUU
Molecule: ribosomal RNA, 744 nt
Filed under: uncultured Planctomycetota bacterium
Lineage: Bacteria; Pseudomonadati; Planctomycetota
Description: bacterial SSU rRNA
Rfam family: Bacterial small subunit ribosomal RNA
Source: RNAcentral